This 29-nucleotide non-coding RNA is filed under the name Bombyx mori (domestic silkworm). The record is from RNAcentral. Lineage: Eukaryota; Metazoa; Arthropoda; Insecta; Lepidoptera; Bombycidae.
UGACAUCUUUUCUGCGCUGGAUUAGGCUC